Molecule: ribosomal RNA, 1489 nt
Filed under: uncultured organism
Description: SSU rRNA
Rfam family: Bacterial small subunit ribosomal RNA
Source: RNAcentral
UGGCGGCGUGCCUAAUACAUGCAAGUCGAACGAGUUCUGAUUAUUGAAAGGUGCUUGCAUCUUGAUUUAAUUUUGAACGAGUGGCGGACGGGUGAGUAACACGUGGGUAACCUGCCCUUAAGUGGGGGAUAACAUUUGGAAACAGAUGCUAAUACCGCAUAAAUCCAAGAACCGCAUGGUUCUUGGCUGAAAGAUGGCGUAAGCUAUCGCUUUUGGAUGGACCCGCGGCGUAUUAGCUAGUUGGUGAGGUAACGGCUCACCAAGGCAAUGAUACGUAGCCGAACUGAGAGGUUGAUCGGCCACAUUGGGACUGAGACACGGCCCAAACUCCUACGGGAGGCAGCAGUAGGGAAUCUUCCACAAUGGACGCAAGUCUGAUGGAGCAACGCCGCGUGAGUGAAGAAGGCUUUCGGGUCGUAAAACUCUGUUGUUGGAGAAGAAUGGUCGGCAGAGUAACUGUUGUCGGCGUGACGGUAUCCAACCAGAAAGCCACGGCUAACUACGUGCCAGCAGCCGCGGUAAUACGUAGGUGGCAAGCGUUAUCCGGAUUUAUUGGGCGUAAAGCGAGCGCAGGCGGUUUUUUAAGUCUGAUGUGAAAGCCCUCGGCUUAACCGAGGAAGUGCAUCGGAAACUGGGAAACUUGAGUGCAGAAGAGGACAGUGGAACUCCAUGUGUAGCGGUGAAAUGCGUAGAUAUAUGGAAGAACACCAGUGGCGAAGGCGGCUGUCUGGUCUGUAACUGACGCUGAGGCUCGAAAGCAUGGGUAGCGAACAGGAUUAGAUACCCUGGUAGUCCAUGCCGUAAACGAUGAAUGCUAGGUGUUGGAGGGUUUCCGCCCUUCAGUGCCGCAGCUAACGCAUUAAGCAUUCCGCCUGGGGAGUACGACCGCAAGGUUGAAACUCAAAGGAAUUGACGGGGGCCCGCACAAGCGGUGGAGCAUGUGGUUUAAUUCGAAGCAACGCGAAGAACCUUACCAGGUCUUGACAUCUUUUGAUCACCUGAGAGAUCAGGUUUCCCCUUCGGGGGCAAAAUGACAGGUGGUGCAUGGUUGUCGUCAGCUCGUGUCGUGAGAUGUUGGGUUAAGUCCCGCAACGAGCGCAACCCUUAUGACUAGUUGCCAGCAUUUAGUUGGGCACUCUAGUAAGACUGCCGGUGACAAACCGGAGGAAGGUGGGGAUGACGUCAAAUCAUCAUGCCCCUUAUGACCUGGGCUACACGCGUGCUACAAUGGAUGGUACAACGAGUUGCGAGACCGCGAGGUCAAGCUAAUCUCUUAAAGCCAUUCUCAGUUCGGACUGUAGGCUGCAACUCGCCUACACGAAGUCGGAGUCGCUAGUAAUCGCGGAUCAGCACGCCGCGGUGAAUACGUUCCCGGGCCUUGUACACACCGCCCGUCACACCAUGAGAGUUUGUAACACCCGAAGCCGGUGGCGUAACCCUUUUAGGGAGCGAGCCGUCUAAGGUGGGACAAAUGAUUAGGGUGAAGUCA